CUCACUCUAGCCUGGGCAACAAAGCGAGACUCUGUCUCAAAAACAAAAAAACUAUGAAGCUAAUGGCUCCCUUUCACGUGAUUUGCUUUAAUUAUCAAGAAUCAAAUAUAUAAAUGAAACUUUUCUCAAGUAACUUUAUGAGUUUCCCCAUGAAUAUGCAUUUAAAAGACAGAAGGCCUCUUUCCCUUCUUCCCAACUACACGCACGCACACAGAGCUCUGCCGUGCACUAUCAACAUAUGCUCACUCCUGAAGAAAAAUUUAAUUUCAUGACCCACCUAAAAUAUCGACAUCUAAAUGUAGACUUUUUUUCCAUUGGAAAAGCUGCUGCAACAAUACCCCUACGAGGUAAAGAGAAAAAAAACAAAACACAGGAGUAUACACAUUUCUGUGGUAUGUCAAAUGGUCAUUUACCAUGUGACCCAGGCACAGGACAGGCUUUGGGGUAGGGAAGCUGCUCCCUGGCUUUAGCCAUGCUGGGCCAAAGUGUGGCUGUGGUUGGUUAUCAGAUGCGUCUACUGGUUCGCUCCUUUCAGUAUUCAUGUUCAAAAUCUUAGGGGACAGUUUUAAUGCCAAACUUUUGUAGUAACAAUGGAAAGAGCCCGAAUCCACACUGGGGAAUGAAUAGGCAGGAUCCCAUAAAUAGAUCAUUGGACAUACAAAUAUUGUAUGGUAUGGUCUGACCCUAAUUCCCAAAUCCUUCACCAAAGGAUUGGUGAAGCCUUGAGCUGGUCCCAUUUGGCUCCUCUUCUGUGUCCUUUUCUGUCCAAGUUCCACACGUGACAUAAGAAAAAGGCCUCUUCCUUAAUCAUAAAAGAUUUUGUGCUGUUAUUGGUAGCCACUAUUAUUAUAACAAUGAUUCUUUUCACCAUUUAUUGAUAUCCUAGUAUAUGUCAAGGACUGUACCAAACAAACUGCACAUAUUUUCCAAAUUCUCAUGACUCCAUAAGGAAAUAAGGGCCCAGAAAGGUCACAUGGUUUAGUGAUUGCCAAGGCCGUGAAGGCAAUGAAAUUGAUCACCUGCAAUGGGAUCAGGGAAUUGGGUGGAAGGGAUACAGAAGGGAGUUUCACUUCUUUUCCUGCCUUUUUCCAUAGUUUGACUUUUGGAAGCAUAUUAAUGUUCUACAAAUUAAAAAUUAAGUUAAAUCAACCAGGAUGAGAAGGGGGGAAACCUAAAACAAAAACAAACUGCAACAAGCAAACACAAUUGUAUUUCAAAUGUAUACCAUAACUGCACAAAGCAGGGGGGGAAGAACUAAUCCAAGUGAUUUAUAAAUACAGUAUUUGAUUAUAUACCUUCAGUCUUGGUUGGGGGAUGCAAUGGGUGAAUACUGAAAACAAAUCUUUUACCCCUCAAAUCCUGUACUAACCAAUGAAUGCUAAAUAUAGAGGAAAUGUUGAUGGGUAGCAGGAUUUUCUUCCACCAAUCCCCAGGUUGCUUAUUAGUCACAAGGGAAAACAUAAUAACUAUGAGCAAACAAAUAAUACAAUACUUUCACCGUGUCAUCAAAGUUAACAUUACUAAUGAUGGGCAAAUAGACACUAUUUGCUUCUAGAUAUGAUACAUUGAAAAAGAUACAUCAUUCUUAUGUGGUAUUCCAGCCAGUUGUGUGUAACUUGAAAUAAAUCAUGAGGAGAUAGCGAAAAAUUCCAAAUGAGGAAUGUUGUGUAUUUUGCAUACUUCAAAAAUACCAAUAUCAAGGAAGACAAAGAAGCCCUGUGGAGAUAUUCCAAUAAAAGGUUGAUAACUAAAUGCAAUAUUUGAUCCUAGAAUGAACCCCACAAUGGAAGAAAAAAUGCUAUAAAGAUGUUAUUGUGUUAAUGGACAAAAUUGACAUAUGGAUAAUGGACUAGAUUAAAAAAAAUGAAGGAACUUGCUGAAGGUCAUGGAAUUUUAAAGUGGACCUGUCUGAGUCUGAAGCCCAUGCUCAGUCUGGCUAUAUAUGCUGAAACGUAGAAUUCACACUGCACACAUCAAUGAACUCUGGGAAUAUUAUGGUUUCAUAAGGCCAGAAGAUUCCUUCCCUUUGUGAAUCAUCCCCCCCAAUAUGACCUGAAGGUCUGUUAUAGAGGAACCAGAUUUUGUAAAAUAGUGAUUUCAUAGGGCUAUUCUUAGUGGUAUGAUUUUGGCCCCAAAGCUUUUAAGGAAGACCCUUAGACGGUCCUGUCAUUAUGUUUGGAGAAAAUGAGAGAGGAAGCGCACAGGAAAUGUUGCCAGCUCCUGCAUGUCUAAAGGCAAAAGCCCUGCCUUGUGUCGUGCUUCCAAACAUUAAGAUCGUCUGCAUGGGAAAGCACUAGAGAAUACAAAGGAAUCAAAUCCAGAAGAGCACAAAGAAGCAGGUUCAAAUGAGCAGAAGGACAGUCACAGUUGCAGACAGUGACAAUAGUUGAGGUGACUCCCCUCUGCCUAUGACCCUGUGAAGCCGAGGAUGAUUCAAAACGUUGUCAGCAGCAGGCCCUGGGUAGACAGCUACGUCUGCACUUGAAAGUCGAACAAACAAAAGGGAACAGAAGACACCUUGAAUAUUUCAGCCUCAGUCUAUCCUGCUUUGUUUAUACAUCCUUUGCCUGAGAAACGGAGUCCUGCUACUACUAAUCACACCUACCGUUUAUGGGGCACUUACCGGACACCAGGCACCACUGUUUAUAACCAUUAUCGGAAUUUCUCCUCUCAACAUGCUUGUGAACUAGCUGAUGUUUCGAGAAGUGUCUAACUUGGCCAAGGUUGCGUGGCCAGCAGCUUGAGAGACAGACACUCAAACUGAGACCAGUGUUAACAAGACUUACUCAAGAGUCCAUGCCCUUGACCACAAGGGCUCACUGUGUGAGUUUCUAACGUCCUGUGAUUUAGUGACUGUCAUUUAAAUCGAGAUGGCUUUUCCCCAGUAUCCUGGUCACAUCACAACACUAAAACAAGGUGGUGUUUCCAAGCAAAGGUGAGCAACAGAAAAUGAAUUUAGUGAGUGCAUUCCAUCUUCGGCUGCUAAAUUUCAGUGUCAAUUCAGUGCCUGCUUUCCCAGUCAGUAAAUAAAGCUAAAGAUAAUAAAGCAACGGUUUGGGACAUGAAAAUGACUACCGAGCAUACCCCAAACUUCACAGCUCCCUUCAAGAUGAAAGUGGCUUGAUUGUUGUCUGUUUCUGUACCUUGAGCACCAUGUCGUCCCUGACUACGCUGACUAGAAAUGAGCUUCGAUCAAUCCGAUCAAUCCCUCAUCUCCGGCUGAGGGGGGACAGGGUUGGAGAGUGGAAUAAAUAUGUGUGAGUUGGGCCUGAGGUUUGUUUGUGGAAUCCAGUCAUUAUGGAAAGCAGAGCUUGUAAACAUCAUGACUUUUGUGGAAAUGGAAGACGCUGUGAGGGAAACGCAAUUCAGGUUUCCAUCCACGAUAGAGGUGUCAUAUCAAUGCUAAGAGAUGGCAAGUGGGGUCUGUUUCCCGGGAGUCCUUUCCUCUCUGAACACUUCUUAGGAUUUUCUUUACGUCGGUUCAAAGAUUUUCUUUUUCUUUCUUUUAGAGAUUACAAAGGUAUUUUAUUUUUAAAGAGCUCAGUUCCAGAAUGAGAAGUCUAGUGAUGCCCUGUUCUCUUUCACACACCUCCCAGAGAACAGAGAACUUGGGGGCCAUUCCACUCAUCUGCCAGCCACGACAGAUGGUCUGACAGAGGUAUCAGAAGGUCCUCAGAAGAACUUUUGACUGAGAGAUCAGACAUUACUUCUCUGAAAUUGUGACGCGAGGGGCUCGAUUCAGAUGUAAUUGUAUUUUUCUCAUCCUCACAGUCCUCCCAGUUCAUCCUGAUUUCUUCAUAGCCAAGUUUUGACACCGAAGCUUAUUUUUCAAUAAGGCUGAAUGCUCGGGGCUGUUGCUCACCAUUCUCCCUGCAGCCGGUGCUAAAGUGCUGGUCAGUGUUCGAGAUAAACUUUUAUUAGAGUGUUUCCAUUAAGAUGCUUCAAGGCCAUUACGUCAAGGAAUGAGACACAUCUAUCUUGCUCUGGUUUAAUUGCAGAGAGGAAGGUUGGUUUUAUAUGCUAUAAAGCUACUUUCAGGGAACAUAGAGCUUCAUAUCUAUAGUUACAGGGUUUCUUUUUGUUGAAACCUUCAAUUUCUCUUAACACAGCUGAAAUUAUAAUGCAGUUCUGUUUUAUGAGGCUCCUGAAAUAGUGGCUACAGUCACUGCCUGGUUUACCAAGUUGACAAUGACAUGUACAACAUGAAGCGUUAGGAGCCAGCUCAGCCAGCUUCGCGGCAGCAGUUCACAGGAUUUGCAUGCACUGCCUGGAGGAGUUCUCUCCGUGUCCUCCGCCAUAUUGCUUUCCUCCUUGACAGUAGCUCCUUGGAGCCUCCCCU
Microcebus murinus (gray mouse lemur) is the source of this 4339-nucleotide non-coding RNA. NCBI's taxonomy places the organism in Eukaryota, Metazoa, Chordata, Mammalia, Primates, Cheirogaleidae. The record is from RefSeq and is a predicted model, not a curated record.